UCAAACUUGGUCAUUUAGAGGAAGUAAAAGUCGUAACAAGGUUUCCGUAGGUGAACCUGCGGAAGGAUCAUUACCGAGUUAGGGUGUCGUCCUAAACACACGCGCCCGACCUCCCAACCCUUUGUUUACUGUACCGUAUUUGUUGCUUCGGCGAGCCGGUGUCUUUAUCGACGCCGCCUGGUCUUACAGCCGGGAAAGCGUUCGCCGACGGCCCCAAAACAAAACCAAAACUCUUGAUACCAAAAACCUGUCGUCUGAAUAUUGUGAUUUUUAAAAUCAAAAACAAAACUUUCAACAACGGAUCUCUUGGUUCUGGCAUCGAUGAAGAACGCAGC
This 335-nucleotide unclassified non-coding RNA is filed under the name uncultured fungus. RNAcentral's name for it is "partial contains small subunit ribosomal RNA, internal transcribed spacer 1, and 5.8S ribosomal RNA". The stretch from base 1 to 73 matches the Rfam family "Eukaryotic small subunit ribosomal RNA", at positions 1759 to 1831 of the family's 1831-position model. Lineage: Eukaryota; Fungi. The record is from RNAcentral.